RNAcentral lists this transfer RNA (63 nucleotides) under Episcapha fortunii. RNAcentral describes it as "tRNA-Asp". The record is from RNAcentral. Lineage: Eukaryota; Metazoa; Arthropoda; Insecta; Coleoptera; Erotylidae.
GAAACCUUAGUUAAAUUAUAACAUUAAUUUGUCAAAUUAAAAUUAUUCCACAAAUAGAUUUCU